ACGAACGCUGGCGGCGUGCUUAACACCUGCCAGUCGCACGGAAAGGCCCUGCUUUUGUGGGGUGCUCGAGUGGCGAACGGGAGAGUAACACGUGAGUAACCUGCCCUUGACUUUGGGAUAACUUCAGGAAACUGGGGCUAAUACCGGAUAGGAGCUCCUGCUGCAUGGUGGGGGUUGGAAAGUUUCGGCGGUUGGGGAUGGACUCGCGGCUUAUCAGCUUGUUGGUGGGGUAGUGGCUUACCAAGGCUUUGACGGGUAGCCGGCCUGAGAGGGUGACCGGCCACAUUGAGACUGAGAUACGGCCCAGACUCCUACGGGAGGCAGCAGUGGGGAAUAUUGCACAAUGGGCGGAAGCCUGAUGCAGCAACGCCGCGUGCGGGAUGACGGCCUUCGGGUUGUAAACCGCUUUCGCCUGUGACGAAGCGUGAGUGACGGUAAUGGGUAAAGAAGCACCGGCUAACUACGUG
This 467-nucleotide ribosomal RNA is filed under the name uncultured bacterium. RNAcentral describes it as "partial 16S ribosomal RNA". It matches the Rfam family "Bacterial small subunit ribosomal RNA", at positions 29 to 507 of the family's 1533-position model. The record is from RNAcentral.